Molecule: transfer RNA, 72 nt
Filed under: Rhamnusium bicolor
Lineage: Eukaryota; Metazoa; Arthropoda; Insecta; Coleoptera; Cerambycidae
Description: tRNA-OTHER
Source: RNAcentral
GGCUUCGUGGUCGAAUGGUAAGAUCACUACCUUUCACCCUGGAGUCCCGGGUUCGAUCCCCGGUCGAGGAGA